RNAcentral lists this ribosomal RNA (253 nucleotides) under uncultured bacterium. RNAcentral's name for it is "partial 16S ribosomal RNA". It matches the Rfam family "Bacterial small subunit ribosomal RNA", at positions 524 to 776 of the family's 1533-position model. The record is from RNAcentral.
UACGUAGGGGGCAAGCGUUGUCCGGAAUCAUUGGGCGUAAAGCGCGUGUAGGCGGUUUGGUAAGUCCGCUCUGAAAGUCCGGGGCUCAACCCCGGAAGGCGGGUGGAUACUGUCAGACUAGAGUGCGGAGGAGGCGAGUGGAAUUCCCGGUGUAGCGGUGAAAUGCGCAGAUAUCGGGAGGAACACCAAUUGCGAAGGCAGCUCGCUGGGACGUAACUGACGCUGAGACGCGAAAGCGUGGGGAGCAAACAGG